RNAcentral lists this long non-coding RNA (540 nucleotides) under Nicotiana benthamiana. Its description in RNAcentral is "long non-coding RNA (NBEN_LNC013905)". Lineage: Eukaryota; Viridiplantae; Streptophyta; Magnoliopsida; Solanales; Solanaceae. The record is from RNAcentral.
AUAAUAAGUAGCUUUCCACAAGAUUUUCUAAUAGGCGGCUGCAGGAAUAAUUUGGAAUGGUUCUUUCUCCAUUAUUGGACUGCUCAAGACUAGUUGAAUAUGUUCACAUUACAAGGAUAAAUUGCAGCUCAAUAUGCCGUAUCAAAUGAGAUUUAACCAGCAAUACCUAAAAAUAAUGGAUUAUUGUGCAGAGUGACCUGUCUUUGUAUCAAAUGAGGUUUAACCAGCAAUACCUAAAAAUAAUGGAUUAUUGUGCAGAGUGACCUGUCUUUAGAUUAUAGGGUUCAAAGAGUUUGUGAACCUUCUGAAUGCCUUUGCUCUAUGUGCUACUUGCAGAUGGUUAUUUUGUUGACCCCUUUUUAAAAUUAUCACAUUUCUCUAUCUGUUGUAACCUUUUUUUCUUUUUUUAUAGUCCCAACUCCUUGAUACAUUUAUGCACCAAUCUCGGUUUCUAUCAUGUCUAAACCUGGACACUGAAAAAGACAGAAGAAGCUGGAGCAAUGCCAGCUCAAACAAUUUAGAGAAACUUAAGUGCCAGGA